This 508-nucleotide ribosomal RNA is filed under the name uncultured bacterium. RNAcentral's name for it is "partial 16S ribosomal RNA". It matches the Rfam family "Bacterial small subunit ribosomal RNA", at positions 28 to 507 of the family's 1533-position model. The record is from RNAcentral.
GACGAACGCUGGCGGCGUGCCUAAUACAUGCAAGUCGAACGCUUCUUUCCUCCCGAGUGCUUGCACUCAAUUGGAAAGAGGAGUGGCGGACGGGUGAGUAACACGUGGGUAACCUACCCAUCAGAGGGGGAUAACACUUGGAAACAGGUGCUAAUACCGCAUAACAGUUUAUGCCGCAUGGCAUAAGAGUGAAAGGCGCUUUCGGGUGUCGCUGAUGGAUGGACCCGCGGUGCAUUAGCUAGUUGGUGAGGUAACGGCUCACCAAGGCCACGAUGCAUAGCCGACCUGAGAGGGUGAUCGGCCACACUGGGACUGAGACACGGCCCAGACUCCUACGGGAGGCAGCAGUAGGGAAUCUUCGGCAAUGGACGAAAGUCCGACCGAGCAACGCCGCGUGAGUGAAGAAGGUUUUCGGAUCGUAAAACUCUGUUGUUAGAGAAGAACAAGGACGUUAGUAACUGAACGUCCCCUGACGGUAUCUAACCAGAAAGCCACGGCUAACUACGUG